RNAcentral lists this small nucleolar RNA (79 nucleotides) under Laticauda laticaudata (blue-ringed sea krait). Lineage: Eukaryota; Metazoa; Chordata; Lepidosauria; Squamata; Elapidae. The record is from RNAcentral.
UUGGUGACAUGAUGAAUUAAAACCAAAUCACCAUCUUUCGUCUGAAAUUAUGAUGAUUUGUUUUUUUCUGAAAGAUCCA